This 254-nucleotide ribosomal RNA is filed under the name uncultured bacterium. RNAcentral describes it as "partial 16S ribosomal RNA". It matches the Rfam family "Bacterial small subunit ribosomal RNA", at positions 524 to 776 of the family's 1533-position model. The record is from RNAcentral.
UACGUAGGGGGCGAGCGUUGUCCGGAUUUAUUGGGCGUAAAGAGCUCGUAGGCGGCUUGGCAAGUCGGGUGUGAAACCUCCAGGCUCAACCUGGAGACGCCACUCGAUACUGCUAUGGCUAGAGUCCGGUAGGGGACCACGGAAUUCCUGGUGUAGCGGUGAAAUGCGCAGAUAUCAGGAGGAACCCCGGUGGCGAAGGCGGUGGUCUGGGCCGGCACUGACGCUGAGGAGCGAAAGCGUGGGUAGCAAACGGG